GAGUGUUCUUGUAGCGUGUUCGUGGCACGCCCGUGAAUAAAGUCCGUCGCGAGGCGGGAUUAGCGAUCGAUCGUGCAGAACCGGACCGCCCGGCUGGUUCAUCGGGAGCAUGUCGACGACCAGCAAAUGGGAUUUGUCCCGGGAGGACAUAAAAGCCGCUGCCACGGACGAAAAGGAGCUGCUGCUGGAGCACGACAGCGAUCAGGAUGAAAAUAUGCUGUUCAAUCGACCGAGCACGUCUUCGGGAGAGACUCAGGCGGAUGGAAAGAUGGAUAGCGUUAGGUUACAAAUUCAGGAAGUGACGGAGGUGAUGCGAGAGAACGUUCAGAAGGUAUUGGAGCGAGAAGAGAGGCUAGAGGAUCUACAGGAAGCUAGCGAACGUUUGAACAUGGCUGGAAACGAAUUCAGAUCGACGGCGAAGAAAGCUCAGCAAAGGGCGUGGCUUCAGAACUUCCGAACGAGGAUUAUUCUCGUUACUAUGGCGGUGACAAUUGUCAUCUGCAUCAUUGUUCUGGACAUCACGGUGCUUUACCUGGUUCUCAGAUAGCAAACACGGUGUAGCGAGCUUCGAUCGUUCGAUUCCAGGCCGGAUAUCGCCUGUUCUUCGAAGUCAUCGCGAAAUUGACCGCAUCCUAACACAUCUCGAAACUAUCCAUCGCCGUGAAAUACUCGUGACCGAGGCCCCC
This 686-nucleotide unclassified non-coding RNA is filed under the name Habropoda laboriosa. RNAcentral's name for it is "vesicle-associated membrane protein 3-like, transcript variant X1". The record is from RNAcentral. Lineage: Eukaryota; Metazoa; Arthropoda; Insecta; Hymenoptera; Apidae.